RNAcentral lists this ribosomal RNA (831 nucleotides) under Coniella diplodiella. Its description in RNAcentral is "eukaryotic LSU rRNA". It matches the Rfam family "Eukaryotic large subunit ribosomal RNA", at positions 106 to 966 of the family's 3401-position model. Lineage: Eukaryota; Fungi; Ascomycota; Sordariomycetes; Diaporthales; Schizoparmaceae. The record is from RNAcentral.
AGCUCAAAUUUGAAAUCUGGCUUCGGCCCGAGUUGUAAUUUGCAGAGGAUGUUUCUGGCGCGGUGCCUUCCGAGUUCCCUGGAACGGGACGCCAUAGAGGGUGAGAGCCCCGUAUGGUUGGAUACCAAGCCUGUGUGAAACUCCUUCGACGAGUCGAGUAGUUUGGGAAUGCUGCUCAAAAUGGGAGGUAAAUCUCUUCUAAAGCUAAAUAUUGGCCAGAGACCGAUAGCGCACAAGUAGAGUGAUCGAAAGAUGAAAAGCACCUUGAAAAGGGGGUUAAACAGUACGUGAAAUUGUUGAAAGGGAAGCGCUCAUGACCAGACUUGUGCUGGGCAGCUCAUCCGGGGUUCUCCCCGGUGCACUCUGCCCAGUUCAGGCCAGCAUCGAUUUUUGCUGGGGGAUAAGAACGGUAGGAACGUGGCCCUCCUUCGGGAGGGUGUUAUAGCCUACCGUACGAUACCCUAGCGGAGAUCGAGGUUCGCGCAUCUGCAAGGAUGCUGGCGUAAUGGUCAUCAGCGACCCGUCUUGAAACACGGACCAAGGAGUCGUCCAUUAGAGCGAGCGUUUGGGUGUAAAACCCGCACGCGUAAUGAAAGUGAAAUUAGGUGAGAGCUUCGGCGCAUCAUCGACCGAUCCUGAUGUUCUCGGAUGGAUUUGAGUAAGAGUUUUAACGGACGGACCCGAAAGACAGUGAACUAUGCUUGUAUAGGGUGAAGCCAGAGGAAACUCUGGUGGAGGCUCGCAGCGGUUCUGACGUGCAAAUCGAUCGUCAUAUAUGAGCAUGGGGGCGAAAGACUAAUCGAACUGUCUAGUAGCUGGUUACCGCCGAAG